RNAcentral lists this small RNA (5653 nucleotides) under Rattus norvegicus (Norway rat). Its description in RNAcentral is "uncharacterized LOC102556249". The record is from RNAcentral. Lineage: Eukaryota; Metazoa; Chordata; Mammalia; Rodentia; Muridae.
AUCCCCGGACGCGCGGCCCCCCCACCCGCGGCCCCGCGCGCCUCUCCCUGACACCACCCUCCGCGGCCCCCUCCGGACCCUCUGGCCCCCAAGACGCCCCUCCGGCCCUCCCCUAGGAGAGGGGGCCCUCGCCAAGUCUCCGCCUUCCUGCCCUCCUCCUGUCAAUGCCGCUGUCCAGAGCUCGCAGCCCUGGGAACGCCACUCCAGCGGGGCCUCCUUCUCCUGGGACCCCCUGGGCCCCACCCCCAGGACCUCCCACCUCUGCAAACCCCGAGUUUGCUUUUCCCAUCCACCGGGCAGCUCUUCUCCACGCCCACCUGGCUGGACCCGGGAAACCGAAGAAGUUAGUGGGGGUUCACCAGUAGGAAUCGGUAUGAGGGAGAGCCUGGAGGAGGAAAUGGGGAAAGGGGAAAUGUUCAGAAGGAAUGGAGGACAGCGAGCAGGGUAUUCGGGGAUGGAGGACCAAGUGUGUUUCUUUGGGAAGUGCUGGCAUGUAGGGGUGUGUGCUGUGUACCUGUGUGAAGGAUGUACGCAGAAUGUAGAGUAUGGGGUACGUGAGGGUGGUGUGUACGUAUGUGUCCUGUGGCGGGGAGCGGUGUGCAUUCCGAGAUGUGCGCAGGGUGAACACAGUGUACGUGCAAUGUCCAGGCGUGUGGUGUGCAAGUGUGUGUCUGUGUGUUAUGUGGUGAAUGUGCAGGAAAGGUGUCGCCUUGAGGUGUGGGUAGAGUAUUGUAGGUGCUGGGGGGUUAUGAAUAGGGUAUGCGGGAGAACUGGCUAGAGAUUUCUCUCAGAGGACCAGCCAUGGAGAAGGCCAGGAUGAAGUCUUGGGGAGAACCUCGGGUGAGUUCAGCUCUGAGUCCAUUUCCGUUUUCAGAUCUGGCAGACAAAUCCCUCACACUCAGGUAAAUAAAUUCGGCCUGUGCUCGAGUGCACGAGAAGGGAGAACGUUGUAGUAGCCCAGAUCUGGACUUGGACCACUGGAGGCCUCCCUCUGGCAACCCCGCCCUGGCCUGCAGUCCGGGGUGUGGGUGAUUCAGGCCGCCUGCGCAGCAGCUUCGGAACCGCGGGUUGCCUUGGCUGCGCCUUUAGCUGGGGCUGGGAGAAGCCGGGUCCGAGAGUCGGGAAGAGGGAGAGGUGGAGAGAAUGCGCCUGCGCACGAGUCUUUCCCACAGCAGGUUCAAGUCAGGAAAAGGCCUAGGGACUUUCCUAUUUUUUGCCCUUUAAAGUCAGAGACCCUUCCAAAACUGAGCGCUGUAUUGCCUGGGGAAGCCGCGCCUAUGUGUCCGAGGCAGCUCUGGGGUUCUUGCCCACCCUUCCGGGAAGCCGAUUGCUAGUGGGUGUAUGGAGGCUUUCCAAAGACUCCCGGAGGUUUGCGUGGGUUUCACUUCGGGCCAUAGCUUCAGAAAGAGCGAGCCUGCCUCUCUGUAUUUUUAGCAGGAGGAGCAGAAUUUGAAACAGCAGCAUACCGGUCCUGCGCCUGGUGAAGGAUGACUCGCCAGAAAGCAAAGGCACAGCCCUACCUCCGCGAGCUUGGCGCGUGGCCCAGGAGGCUCCGCGAGCCCUCGUACGUAAGGAUCGCGGCGCCCACGCUUGAGAGCAGAGCUCAGUGCAAACUUCCAACGGUUCUUCCAGUUUCCAGGGAAACGAGAUCUGGAGCUGCUGUGCGUUGCAGAGCUGCCUCUCUGCAACCCACAUGGGACCCCUGUGGCUGGCUGGUCUUGGGGAAGAAGGAGUUGAAGCCACCACAUCCAUGAAGGUUUUGUCUGGAGCCUGUCUGAUCCGAUGCAUUCAGUACUGAAAGCUUUCAGGAACAUUCUUUUACUCACUUCUCAGGACAACCGGUGAGGUAGGUCCCCUGUUAUCCCCAGUAGGACUUUUCAUUAGUAAAUUAGUGACUGGAAUUGGGACAGAAACCCACACUCUGUGACCAGGCUAUGCUCCCCCCACCCCCGAUGCCUUCCUGAUUCCAACCCCUGCAGAGGAUCCUCAAGGUGCAGGAUUUCCCUGGAGUACAAAUAGGUCUUUUCUAUCAGGUCGGAUUGGAAAUGGCCAGGUCAGGAGAAUUCCAACUAUUUCUGGGGCUAGCUGAGUAUGUACGUGUCUGUGGUGCCAAAAAAAAAAAUAAAUAAAAAUCUAGUUCUUUGGAGAGUAUGGUGGCAGGAGCCUGCAAACACGGAGAGGGGAACUCACUGAGAAGGGUCUUUAAGCCGAAGCAAUUCAAUUUUAUUCUGAGGGCAGGAACACAGAGAUUUCAGGCGAGCAUCCUGGCGUGUGCUGAGAAGGAGCUCUGCUGCCUGGGAUCUAGGGGAGCGAAAGGAGCUUUCUCUCUGCUUGCAGUGUAAAAUCCCAGGAUCCUUUCACCGAGGAAGAGCUCAUCAUGCUCUGUUGUGAGCCAUCCUCAACUUCCACUUGCAGAGUCUGCUUAACCUUCCAUGCAUGCCAAGGAGGGGACCCAGGGUAGCUGCGGUCUAGUCACGUGACCUGGAGGGUCAGAGGCAGGAAGGAGAGCAACUCCAGAAAGAACCACACCGGUGAGGGAUAACUUUGCCACUUUUCCAGGAAAAUGACAUCAUUAACUACUGUUCAAGUUCCUACAGAGGUCUGGCGGCCUUCUGGGGGCAGGUAUCACUCUCCCACACCAUCACCUUUUAAAUAUUUUAUUAACAUAUGUCUUAGUCUACCUUCUUUUACUGUAACUGAAUAACAUUUACAAAGAACAAUGGUUUAUUUAGCUAACACUUCAGAAGUGCUUGCAACUGUGAAGCCCUUGUGCUGUGUAUAGUAUGGUGUAAGGAAUGACUUGGCAAGACAGAGCAGCCAAAGAGCUUCUUCCACAACAAAACCGCUCAACCAAUUAUAUCCCAAAGGUUCCACCAAACACCAUGAGCAUAUGACUUUGGGGGUCACGUUUCUCGCCUGUGGAUUCUGGGGACAAGCGUUCAUGCAUCACAAGUAGCCAAAUAGUUGAAAUGUUCAUUGUUAAGCCUCACCCCCUCCCGACCCCCCUUUUUUUCCUAGGAACAGCCACGUUAAUCUGUUACUUCACACAGGCAGUGCAGGCAUCCUCUGUGCAAAACACCCAACGGUGAAUCUUCCAAAGAAUUCAUGAAACCGUAGCCGAGUUCUCAGAGACACAACAGUGUUUCUUACUAUGUUCAAAGUCUUAUAGAAUGUAACACAGAAAAUAUUAAAUAUACAAUGUGCUAUCUUCAUGGCAUAGAAACAAGCAUUUAUCUAACUUACGAAAGACAGAAGUGCCCGAGACACGGCCCAGGACCUGUCAGCCAACCAGAGCUUCUUCCUGCACUUGCUUAGGCAUUUGUAGAAGGAAUCUAUCCCAGCCGCUACAGCUGGUCUGGUUUGUUUUCUUUUGUUUGUUCAUUUGUUUUUAUUUUACAGAGAGUCAGAGAGCAUGAUUCUCCCUACCUGGCUUCUUUUGUUCCAUAAAUAAUGUUUGUGGAGCGUGUCCACGAUGCUGCGCACAGCCCUGGCUCACUCAUGGCUGGUAAUGAAACCCUGCAGCUGACCAGUUUCACUGCAGUAAGCAACACAUUGCUUCUUGUUUGGGAAUGGUGUGUCGGGAAUCAUUGAGACACGCAGCUGAGUAACCCUGUCUGAUUAAUACUGUCUUUACUUCUAUUUCCCCCUCUUUGCAUCGAGGUGCAAUUUAUGUACAAUAAGAAUCAUUGAUUUUAACUGUAUGAUUCCACGAGUUUGGACAGCUGCAUACAUUAUACGGACGACCCACUCAUGACUCAAUGCUGGUCCAACUCCUGCAAAUGCUAAGCUCAGCUUUUCCCGACUCCCACCUCGUGCAGUAUACAGGAUUUCCUGUGCAUGGGCAACCUUUUCUGUCUGGCUUCAGUGCCUUUCAGAUUCGUCCAAACUCUCACAUGAAUCGAUUGGUUGUGCUUAUUGCUGAAUAGAAUUCUAGUAAAAAGUGUUUAUCCAUUCACGGCAUGGUGGGCAUUCUGGCUGUCUCUGACGGGGUGACUGACCUGUAUUCAACCGUGGUACCAUGCAGGUUUAAGUCGAUAUGAGCGUGCUUCCAACUCCUUAGGUGUGUGGUAGGAGUGUGAUUGCUGGGCUGCAUCACCACACAUUUACAGUUAUCCUUAAAGAAAACAGAAGAUCAUUAACUAGAAUCAUUUUCCGCCCCCAUCCCCCCGUGCCGUAUGUGUAUACUCCUGGGUUGUGUUUUUAGCAACACAAGGUGUGUCAGCUUCCCUAGCAUGUUGGCCAGCCUGGCGUCCAUAGAUGGAUUCUCAUGGUGGCUUUAAUUUGCAUUGCCUGGUUUUGAAUGCUAUCAACACUUUCACUUAUCUUCAGUAAUGCGCGGGCGCGCGCGCGCGCGCGCACACACACACACACACACACACACACACACACACACACACUUGGUUAGCUUUUUCGAAAAUUACGUGGUCUCUAAGUCUCUAUCAUUUUAUCAACAGUGAAUAGAAGCGUGACUGGAAAUGUGGCGUACGUUGGCCCUGUGGAUUCUCCUGUAAUAGCCCAAGCACAUAUUAUACCUCUUUCAGCUGAUCCCUCGAAAACUCAUCACUACUCAACCUGGUCUCCUCUGGAGUCUAAAUGAAGCACUUAAUGGGAAUCCACCUAAGCCUCCUCUGGCUUCUGUUUAUGACAGUAAAGAGUCCAGGUAAGUCAUGUCAGGGGUAGACAGAGCUGCCAGCUGCCCAUGUCUUAGCGAGAUCAGUGAGCUAUAUCUCCCAAGAGAGAAUUGUCAUUCUGCCUCUCUGCCAUGAGGACACUGCUGGACCACCUCUGCAGGAGCUUGCACUGAUGCUGUGCUAGAAAGAACAAAGACCCUUCUCUGCUUUGGUUUCCUUUAGAAAUGGUUCUGGCUCUGUCUCCCACAUACUCCAGCCUCCCACCACUCCAACUGGGGUGAACUUUCCUUCUACCUGUGGAACACAUCAAAUGGAGUUCUUGUGUUUCCUGUGUUCAUUUUCUCGUCUGAAAUCAUGCUGUUGCUGCUGUCUACCACACUAUGUCCUUGUAUUCCUAGACCUCCAAAACCAGGGCUGGACAGUCCAGGUGGAGCCUUUCUUCCUUAGCAGACGUAAGUAGACACAACCAUCCUGUAGGGCGAACAAGAGCUUGGUGGCUGGACAACCACUUCAGAUUUUCAAAUACACCCUCACAGAGAUGCUCAGGGAUGCUCACUGAAGUUUCAUCUGAGGCAGGGAGUCACAAGAAAGCAGAGAAGGAUGACCCCUGCCAAAACCAUGUUAGAGCAAAGGUGGCAGGGUCUCCCUUCCCUUGAAAUAACUCAAAUGCUGGACAGAGGACAGAAAGCAUGGUUUUCAAAUGCUAAUCAUGAAACAAGGCAAGACUGUGACAGAGAAUCAAAGAAAGCCUCCAGUGCCUCGUGUAACAGCUUAAGAGUUGCCAGCAAUGGUGCCAGCCGAGGAGCCCAGGCAGACUCAAAGAACUUCCCUGGGUUUAAGAGACAUGCUUGUGCUCAAGGGACCAAACUAAAUGUAUACAGGUUUGAUUUUUGUCAAUUAUGCUUCAAUAUAACUAUAAAAACUGGGGUAAAAGCACACUGUAAAAUACUGUCAAUCAGAAGUAACAAAGCUGUAUCUAAUACAUAACUCUAAGUGAGUAAAGAAUCAAUAUUGUCCAACCA